Molecule: ribosomal RNA, 333 nt
Filed under: uncultured cyanobacterium
Lineage: Bacteria; Bacillati; Cyanobacteriota
Description: bacterial SSU rRNA
Rfam family: Bacterial small subunit ribosomal RNA
Source: RNAcentral
GACGAACGCUGGCGGUAUGCCUAACACAUGCAAGUCGAACGAGGUUCUUUCACCGCUUGGAUUCUGUCCAAGCACCGAAAGGAUUGCAGUGGCGGACGGGUGAGGAACACGUAAGAACUUACCUUUUGGCGGGGGAUAACAUCGGGAAACUGUUGCUAAUACCCCAUAAUGCUGAGGAGCGAAAGGGAAACUGCCAAAAGAGAGGCUUGCGUCUGAUUAGCUAGUUGGUGGAGGUAAAUGCUCCCCAAGGCGACGAUCAGUAGCUGGUCUGAGAGGGAUGAUCAGCCACACGUGGGACUGAGACGACCGGCCCAGACUCCGUACGGGUGGCUG